UAACAUUUGCUCAAUAAAGAAAAUAUCUGUUCUUAUCAGAUUAAAAUCUGAUAUGACGCUUAUGGAGUGUCGUGAUUUUAAUCUAAUUUUUGAACUCCCGGCAUGAGGUUCGGUAUUUAUACCGCCCUUGCCACAGGUUGGCCCGCUAUUGCACUCUAUGCGGGAGCGGCCUUCAUAAA
RNAcentral lists this small nuclear RNA (179 nucleotides) under Stegodyphus mimosarum. Its description in RNAcentral is "U2 spliceosomal RNA". It matches the Rfam family "U2 spliceosomal RNA". Rfam says of the family: U2 is a small nuclear RNA (snRNA) component of the spliceosome (involved in pre-mRNA splicing). Complementary binding between U2 snRNA (in an area lying towards the 5' end but 3' to hairpin I) and the branchpoint sequence (BPS) of the intron results the bulging out of an unpaired adenosine, on the BPS, which initiates a nucleophilic attack at the intronic 5' splice site, thus starting the first of two transesterification reactions that mediate splicing. Lineage: Eukaryota; Metazoa; Arthropoda; Arachnida; Araneae; Eresidae. The record is from RNAcentral.